RNAcentral lists this ribosomal RNA (761 nucleotides) under Microbacterium sp. GWS-TZ-H305. RNAcentral describes it as "partial 16S ribosomal RNA". The record is from RNAcentral. Lineage: Bacteria; Bacillati; Actinomycetota; Actinomycetes; Micrococcales; Microbacteriaceae.
CCACACUAGUUCCCAACGUUUACGGGGUGGWCUACCAGGGUUAUCUAAGCCUGUUUGCUCCCCACYCUUUCGCUCCUCAGCGUCAGUUACGGCCCAGAGAUCUGCCUUCGCCAUCGGUGUUCUCCUGWUAUCUGCGCAUUCCACCGCUACACCAGGAAUUCCAAUCUCCCCUACCGCACUCUAGUCUGCCCGUACCCACUGCAAGCYCGAGGUUGAGCCGUCGGAAUUUCACAGCAGACGCGACAGACCGCCUACGAGCUCUUUACGCCCAAUAAUUCCGGAUAACGCUUGCACCCUACGUAUUACCGCGGCUGCUGGCACGUAGUUAGCCGGUGCUUUUUCUGCAGGUWYCGUCACUCUCGCUUCUUCCCUGCUAAAAGAGGUUUACAACCCGAAGCCGUCAUCCCUCACGCGGCGUUGCUGCAUCAGGCUUCCGCCCAUUGUGCAAUAUUCCCCACUGCUGCCUCCCGUAGAGUCUGGGCCGUGUCUCAGUCCCAGUGUGGCCGGUCACCCUCUCAGGCCGGCUACCCGUCGACGCCUUGGUGAGCCAUUACCUCACYAACAAGYUGUAUAGGYCGCGAGCCCAUCCCCAACYGAAAAAUCUUUCCACCCWCACACCAUGCGGUGAUUGGGACAUAUCCUAGUAUUAGACGCCGUUUCCAGYGCUUAUCCCAGAGUCWUGGGUAGGUUGCUCAYGUGUUACUCACCGUUCGCACUAAUCWCCCAKCAWKUAGGUUYAUCGUUCGACUUGYAUGUGUUAA